AUUGAACGCUGGCGGCAGGCCCAACACAUGCAAGUCGAGCGGCAGCGGAAAGUAGCUUGCUACUUUGCCGGCGAGCGGCGGACGGGUGAGUAAUGUCUGGGAAACUGCCUGAUGGAGGGGGAUAACUACUGGAAACGGUAGCUAAUACCGCAUAACGUCGCAAGACCAAAGAGGGGGACCUUCGGGCCUCUUGCCAUCAGAUGUGCCCGGAUGGGAUUAGCUAGUAGGUGGGGUAACGGCUCACCUAGGCGACGAUCCCUAGCUGGUCUGAGAGGAUGACCAGCCACACUGGAACUGAGACACGGUCCAGACUCCGACGGGAGGCAGCAGUGGGGAAUAUUGCACAAUGGGCGCAAGCCUGAUGCAGCCAUGCCGCGUGUAUGAAGAAGGCCUUCGGGUUGUAAAGUACUUUCAGCGGGGAGGAAGGCGCUGAGGUUAAUAACCUCAGCGAUUGACGUUACCCGCAGAAGAAGCACCGGCUAACUCCGUGCCAGCCACCGCGGUAA
This 506-nucleotide ribosomal RNA is filed under the name uncultured bacterium. Its description in RNAcentral is "partial 16S ribosomal RNA". It matches the Rfam family "Bacterial small subunit ribosomal RNA", at positions 29 to 523 of the family's 1533-position model. The record is from RNAcentral.